CGCGUAGGUGGCCAAUUAAGUCAAAUGUGAAAUCCCCGAGCUUAACUUGGGAAUUGCAUUCGAUACUGGUUGGCUAGAGUAUGGGAGAGGAUGGUAGAAUUCCAGGUGUAGCGGUGAAAUGCGUAGAGAUCUGGAGGUAUACCGAUGGCGAAGGCAGCCAUCUGGCCUAAUACUGACACUGAGGUGCGAAAGCGUGGGGAGCGAACAGGAUUAGAUACCCGAGUA
This 225-nucleotide ribosomal RNA is filed under the name uncultured Acinetobacter sp. Its description in RNAcentral is "partial 16S ribosomal RNA". It matches the Rfam family "Bacterial small subunit ribosomal RNA", at positions 568 to 792 of the family's 1533-position model. Lineage: Bacteria; Pseudomonadati; Pseudomonadota; Gammaproteobacteria; Moraxellales; Moraxellaceae. The record is from RNAcentral.